AGUCGGACGGUAGCACAGAGGAGCUUGCUCCUCGGGUGACGAGUGGCGGACGGGUGAGUAAUGUCUGGGGAUCUGCCCGAUAGAGGGGGAUAACCACUGGAAACGGUGGCUAAUACCGCAUAACGUCGCAAGACCAAAGAGGGGGACCUUCGGGCCUCUCACUAUCGGAUGAACCCAGAUGGGAUUAGCUAGUAGGCGGGGUAACGGCCCACCUAGGCGACGAUCCCUAGCUGGUCUGAGAGGAUGACCAGCCACACUGGAACUGAGACACGGUCCAGACUCCUACGGGAGGCAGCAGUGGGGAAUAUUGCACAAUGGGCGCAAGCCUGAUGCAGCCAUGCCGCGUGUAUGAAGAAGGCCUUCGGGUUGUAAAGUACUUUCAGCGGGGAGGAAGGCGAUGUGGUUAAUAACCUUGUUGAUUGACGUUACCCGCAGAAGAAGCACCGGCUAACUCCGUGCCAGCAGCCGCGGUAAUACGGAGGGUGCAAGCG
This 491-nucleotide ribosomal RNA is filed under the name Pantoea sp. RNAcentral's name for it is "bacterial SSU rRNA". It matches the Rfam family "Bacterial small subunit ribosomal RNA", at positions 60 to 540 of the family's 1533-position model. The record is from RNAcentral. Lineage: Bacteria; Pseudomonadati; Pseudomonadota; Gammaproteobacteria; Enterobacterales; Erwiniaceae.